This 253-nucleotide ribosomal RNA is filed under the name uncultured bacterium. RNAcentral describes it as "partial 16S ribosomal RNA". It matches the Rfam family "Bacterial small subunit ribosomal RNA", at positions 524 to 776 of the family's 1533-position model. The record is from RNAcentral.
UACGUAGGUGGCAAGCGUUGUCCGGAUUUAUUGGGUUUAAAGGGUGCGUAGGCGGCCUAUUAAGUCAGUGCUGAAAUAUCCCGGCUUAACCGGGAGGGUGGCAUUGAUACUGAUGGGCUUGAGUAGAGUUGAGGUUGGCGGAAUUGACGGUGUAGCGGUGAAAUGCUUAGAUAUCGUCAAGAACACCUAUUGCGAAGGCAGCCAACUAAGCUCAAACUGACGCUGAGGCACGAAAGUGUGGGGAUCAAACAGG